This is a long non-coding RNA of Biomphalaria glabrata, 1257 nucleotides long. RefSeq lists it as uncharacterized. The record is from RefSeq and is a predicted model, not a curated record. The transcript has 5 exons. NCBI's taxonomy places the organism in Eukaryota, Metazoa, Mollusca, Gastropoda, Planorbidae.
UCUAGUAGAGUCUAGAAAAGAAUGUAUAGAUUACUAUAGUCCUAGUAUUCUAGAUUAUUAGUCUAGAUCUAACUUAAAAUUUUCAAUAAAUAUUCUGGAUUUCUUCAGCUUGGUCCAUGUCAAUCCUAUCGUCUUUGCCUUAUGGUCUACCAUUCUUCUGUUUUCUUUGCUUUGAAAUCUAGAUUGACUAGAUCUACACAAUGUCAAUAUAAUUUCUAGAUCUAUAUAUCUAAGACUAAUUAGUAUGGGCUUAAUAUUACUGUAUUAUUUAGUUUAACUACAAUUUUUCAGGUCAGCAGCAUUACAGUAAGCACUGGUACAGCGUACCGGCACUUUUUUCAAUGCAGCGAAAAAGUUACUUUUGUAUUUUAAAGUUUAUUAUUUAUUUAUUAGUUGUUAAAAGGCAAUCCAUCACUGAGCUCCGGCACCUAUUUCUUUACAAAAAAGCACUGAUUACCUGUAUAUUCUUUAACAAUAAUGGUUUACUAUUCUCAGGAAUUAGUCAUUCAAAAGACGGUGAGGAAAAGAAUGGUCGACAAACCUUGUGUGGUGCCUUAACAGUCCAUCAGACUAAGGGAUAGAUAAAGGUAGAUCUUGAUUACACUGCCUGGUUUUGUGGUUUGCACGAGACGGUUGACACAAUGAUCUGAAGUUCAAACUGCCAUUUUCUACUGUCCGCUGCAAGAUCUUGGCUGGAAUGUAAAAGGAAUGUCCAAAAUAUUUAAAUGACAAACAGGAUGGGAACUGAUAAUGAGGAAUAUGCUGAAACAGACAUCUGGCAUAUUCCUAUAAUCAGUAUCAUGGCCUUUGUAUACAACAAAAUUGAUUGGAACUCCUAGACUAGAAAUAUAAUUCAAGAUUUAAAUAAGGCACUGGUCAUAGUUUUAGAAAGUGUGGCUAGCAUUCUGAAGGAAGACAGAGAGAUGGAAAGACAUCAAAGAAUGGGCAGGUCUGCCAAGAAAUGGUUUAUCCAGGGCUAAGUACAGAGAGGAAUAUAGAAGGGCUGUUGACAGAUCUUGUGUGGUGCCCCCAUGGUUCAACAGACUAAUUGAUUGAAAAUAAUACCAGGGUUAUGCUCCUUUGACCAUUGAGUUCCAGGAUGAAGAAUGAAAGACAGAGAGCAAUGUGAAGACAUGAAAGAAUGAGCAGGUCUGCCAUGAAAUGGUUUAUCCAGGGCUAAGUACAGAGAGGAAUAUAGAAGGGCUGUUGACAGAUCUUGUGUGGUGCCCCCAUGGUUCAACAGACUGAUUGAUAGGU